RNAcentral lists this ribosomal RNA (459 nucleotides) under uncultured bacterium. Its description in RNAcentral is "partial 16S ribosomal RNA". It matches the Rfam family "Bacterial small subunit ribosomal RNA", at positions 338 to 795 of the family's 1533-position model. The record is from RNAcentral.
CCUACGGGUGGCAGCAGUGAGGAAUAUUGGUCAAUGGGCGAGAGCCUGAACCAGCCAAGUAGCGUGAAGGAUGACUGCCCUAUGGGUUGUAAACCUCUUUUGUAUGGGAAUAAAAUCUUCCACGUGUGGCGGUUUGCAUGUACCAUAAGAAUAAGGAUCGGCUAACUCCGUGCCAGCAGCCGCGGUAAUACGGAGGAUCCGAGCGUUAUCCGGAUUUAUUGGGUUUAAAGGGGGCGAAGGUGGACGUUUAAGUCAGUGGUAAAAUUUGGGGGCUCAACCGCGACGUGCAGUUGAAACUGGCAGUCUUGAGUACACGAGAGGUAGGCGGAAUGCGUGGUGUAGCGGUGAAAUGCAUAGAUAUCACGAAGAACUCCGAUUGCGAAGGCAGCUUACCGGAGUGAGACUGACGCUGAGGCUCGAAAGUGUGGGUAUCAAACAGGAUUAGAUACCCGAGUAGUC